UGGGGAAUAUUGCACAAUGGGGAAGCCCUGAUGCAGCAACGCCGCGUGAGUGAAGAAGUAAUUCGUUAUGUAAAGCUCUAUCAGCAGGGAAGAAGAAAUGACGGUACCUGAGUAAGAAGCCCCGGCUAACUACGUGCCAGCAGCCGCGGUAAUACGUAGGGGGCAAGCGUUAUCCGGAUUUACUGGGUGUAAAGGGAGCGUAGGCGGGAAGCCAAGUCAGCUGUGAAAAGCUACGGGCUUAACCUGUAGACUGCAGUUGAAACUGGCUUUCUUGAGUGAAGUAGAGGUUGGCGGAAUUCCGAGUGUAGCGGUGAAAUGCGUAGAUAUUCGGAGGAACACCGGUGGCGAAGGCGGCCAACUGGGCUUUAACUGACGCUGAGGCUCGAAAGUGUGGGGAGCAAACAGGAUUAGAUACCC
This 417-nucleotide ribosomal RNA is filed under the name uncultured bacterium. RNAcentral's name for it is "bacterial SSU rRNA". It matches the Rfam family "Bacterial small subunit ribosomal RNA", at positions 355 to 787 of the family's 1533-position model. The record is from RNAcentral.